CACGUAGGCGGACCAUCAAGUUGGGGGUGAAAUCCCGGGGCUCAACCCCGGAACUGCCUCCAAAACUGCUGGUCUGGAGUCCGAGAGAGGUGAGUGGAAUUCCGAGUGUAGAGGUGAAAUUCGUAGAUAUUCGGAGGAACACCAGUGGCGAAGGCGGCUCACUGGCUCGGUACUGACGCUGAGGUGCGAAAGCGUGGGGAGCAAACA
RNAcentral lists this ribosomal RNA (207 nucleotides) under uncultured bacterium. Its description in RNAcentral is "partial 16S ribosomal RNA". It matches the Rfam family "Bacterial small subunit ribosomal RNA", at positions 568 to 774 of the family's 1533-position model. The record is from RNAcentral.